This 690-nucleotide long non-coding RNA is filed under the name Marmota monax (woodchuck). Lineage: Eukaryota; Metazoa; Chordata; Mammalia; Rodentia; Sciuridae. The record is from RNAcentral.
AAAAACUGAGUUUCCUAGUGAAGGUCAGGUUCCUACCCUAUCGGUUUGUGUGUGCUCCCUUACAGCUCUUGACAGUCCAUUAGAAAUCCAUGACUCGUUAAUGCAGUUCCUCUGCUUCUAGGGCUUUCUCAUAAGCUUGAAGGCUCAGCUACACCCUCUUUGCUAUGUUGCAAAAGUAAAAAUACAAAAAGAAAGCAAAACAAAAAGAAAGUUAGGGCAUUUUUACCUAAAAAUAGCACUUACUCUUCAUGAAGUGGCAGCCUGCCCCCGGCUCUCACAUCCAGUUCUUCUCCAGCAAGAUGUACCAUAACAAAGGGAGAGGCUGGUGGUCACAAGCCAGGACAUUGCAGGGCUCAUUAAUUACUUGGAAAAUGGUGCCUGGGCCAGAAUCCCAAACAAAGAAAGAAAAUAGCUCCUGUUCCCCCAUUGACAAGUUGAUGAGUGAGGUAAGAAUGAAAAUCAUUUGGGUAAGCAAAAGGGGGAAGAAAUUAAAUGCAAGCAGUCCUUUUGUUCAAGAAUAAGUGUACAAUUAAGACAUAUUCCUACCCCCGGGAGGGUUGAUUCUUAUCAGUUCAGACCAUGCAAGUCACUGUCUGCUCCUGGCUAUGAAAUGAAUUCCUUAUCUCUAAUAAAAGGAUUGGGAACACCAAUUUAGGAAAAGCGUGGAUGGUGUUGGAGCCUGGACCCAAG